RNAcentral lists this ribosomal RNA (406 nucleotides) under uncultured bacterium. RNAcentral describes it as "bacterial SSU rRNA". It matches the Rfam family "Bacterial small subunit ribosomal RNA", at positions 32 to 417 of the family's 1533-position model. The record is from RNAcentral.
AAUCAACGCUGGCGGCGUGCCUCAGACAUGCAAGUCGAACGCGAAAGGUUCCUUCGGGAACCGAGUAGAGUGGCGCACGGGUGAGUAACACGUAGGUAAUUUGCCUUUGGGUGGGGAAUAACAGCCGGAAACGGCUGCUAAUACCGCAUAAUGCAGCGGCUCGACAUCGAGACAGUUGUUAAAGCGGGGGAUCGCAAGACCUCGCGCCUAAAGAGAAGCCUGCGGCAGAUUAGCUAGUUGGUAGGGUAAUGGCCUACCAAGGCGACGAUCUGUAACCGGCCUGAGAGGGCGGUCGGUCACACUGACACUGACAUACGGGUCAGACUCCUACGGGAGGCAGCAGUCGGGAAUUUUGGGCAAUGGGCGAAAGCCUGACCCAGCAACGCCGCGUGAAGGGUGAAAUCCC